RNAcentral lists this ribosomal RNA (432 nucleotides) under Blastocystis sp. Its description in RNAcentral is "SSU rRNA". It matches the Rfam family "Eukaryotic small subunit ribosomal RNA", at positions 57 to 496 of the family's 1831-position model. The record is from RNAcentral. Lineage: Eukaryota; Bigyra; Opalinata; Blastocystidae.
GUGUAAGUAUAAAUAAUUUUACUUUGAAACUGCGAAUGGCUCAUUAUAUCAUUUAUAGUUUAUUAGAAAUACUUUACUACUUGGAUAACCGUAGUAAUUCUAGGGCUAAUACAUGACUAAAUCCUCAACUUCGGAAGAGGUGUGUUUAUUAGUAUGAAAACCAUAUAUCUUCGGAUAUAAUAGUGAGUAAUAAUAACCUUUCGUAUCGUAUGUCGUAAGAUAACGAUAGUUCUUUCAAGUUUCUGCCCUAUCAGCUUUCGAUGGUAGUAUAUGGGACUACCAUGGCAGUAACGGGUAACGAAGAAUUUGGGUUCGAUUUCGGAGAGGGAGCCUGAGAGAUGGCUACCACAUCCGAGGAAGGCAGCAGGCGCGUAAAUUACCCAAUCCUGACAUAGGGAGGUAGUGACAAUAAAUCACAAUGCGGAACUAUUU